UGCCUCCAACGGGGUUAUUAUGUUUAGCAAGGCCUCCAUCCCUGAUUGGGAAAUCCAUGCUGUGGUUCCUCUUCCACUGUCCACUACGAAGUGGAGCCUGUUUUCUUCGACAAGGGAAUCUUGGGAUUUGAAAAACAACAUCGAGAGGAAUGAAGCAGCUACCAGGAAGAAAGAAGAGUGAAAUGCAUGUUUUGAGUAUUUAAGAUGGCAAUUCUGCCUAGGCUUUCAA
Long non-coding RNA from Lolium rigidum, 229 nucleotides. RefSeq lists it as uncharacterized. The transcript is spliced from 3 exons. The record is from RefSeq and is a predicted model, not a curated record. NCBI's taxonomy places the organism in Eukaryota, Viridiplantae, Streptophyta, Magnoliopsida, Poales, Poaceae.